This 253-nucleotide ribosomal RNA is filed under the name uncultured bacterium. RNAcentral describes it as "partial 16S ribosomal RNA". It matches the Rfam family "Bacterial small subunit ribosomal RNA", at positions 524 to 776 of the family's 1533-position model. The record is from RNAcentral.
UACGAAGGGGGCUAGCGUUGCUCGGAAUUACUGGGCGUAAAGCGCACGUAGGCGGCUUUCUAAGUCGGGGGUGAAAUCCUGGAGCUCAACUCCAGAACUGCCUUCGAUACUGGAAAGCUCGAGUCCGGGAGAGGUGAGUGGAACUGCGAGUGUAGAGGUGAAAUUCGUAGAUAUUCGCAAGAACACCAGUGGCGAAGGCGGCUCACUGGCCCGGUACUGACGCUGAGGCACGAAAGCGUGGGGAGCAAACAGG